GGAAGUAAAAGUCGUAACAAGGUUUCCGUAGGUGAACCUGCGGAAGGAUCAUUAAUGAGUUAGGGUCUUCUAGGCCCGACCUCCCAACCCUUUGUUUACUAGACCUCAGUUGCUUCGGCAGGUCCGUCUUAAAUCUGACCGCUGGAGGACCGCUCAAUGCGGGCGUUGCCUCUGGCCAGUGUCUGCCGAUAGCCUAAUCUCCUAACUCUGGAUCAAUCAUGAUUUACAAUGUCUAAGUGAUUUUAUUCAAUUAAAAGCAAAAACUUUCAACAACGGAUCUCUUGGUUCUGGCAUCGAUGAAGAACGCAGCGAAAUGCGAUAAGUAAUGCGAAUUGCAGAAUUCCAGUGAGUCAUCGAAUCUUUGAACGCACAUUGCGCCCUUUGGUAUUCCGAAGGGCAUGCCUGUUCGAGCGUCAUUAUCACCCCCUCAAGCCCCUGUGCUUGGUGUUGGACGGCUUGGUGGAGCAAGUUCACACUUUCCACCCCUCCUAAAGACAAUGACGGCGGCCUGCGGAACCCCCGGUACACUGAGCUUCUUAACUGAGCACGUAUCGGAUGAAGGGUGCCCGGGACCCGGUCUUCUCCCUCACGGGAACACUUUUUUUCUAAGGUUGACCUCGGAUCAGGUAGGAAUACGCGCUGAACUUAAGCAUAUCAAUAAGCGGAGGA
This 669-nucleotide small RNA is filed under the name Fonsecaea monophora. Its description in RNAcentral is "eukaryotic LSU rRNA". The stretch from base 262 to 416 matches the Rfam family "5.8S ribosomal RNA". The record is from RNAcentral. Lineage: Eukaryota; Fungi; Ascomycota; Eurotiomycetes; Chaetothyriales; Herpotrichiellaceae.